This 539-nucleotide ribosomal RNA is filed under the name uncultured bacterium. RNAcentral's name for it is "bacterial SSU rRNA". It matches the Rfam family "Bacterial small subunit ribosomal RNA", at positions 8 to 526 of the family's 1533-position model. The record is from RNAcentral.
AGAGUUUGAUCAUGGCUCAGAAUCAACGCUGGCGGCGUGCCUAACACAUGCAAGUCGAACGCGAAGACCCCGCAAGGGGUUUGUAGCGUGGCAAACGGGUGAGUAACGCGUGGGUGACCUGCCUUAGAGUGGGGGAUAACGUCUCGAAAGGGACGCUAAUACCGCAUGACAUCCUUUCUUUGAACAGAGGGAGAUCAAAGCCUGGGACCGCAAGGCCAGGCGCUCGAAGAGGGGCCCGCGUCCGAUUAGCUAGUUGGUGAGGUAACGGCUCACCAAGGCGACGAUCGGUAUCCGGCCUAAGAGGGCGGACGGACACACUGGGACUGAGACACGGCCCAGACUCCUACGGGAGGCAGCAGUGGGGAAUUGUUCGCAAUGGGCGCAAGCCUGACGACGCAACGCCGCGUGGAGGACGAAGAUCUUCGGGUCGUAAACUCCUGUCGAGCGGGACGAAUGGCCUGCGGGUAAAUAAUCCGCGGGAGUGACGGUACCGCUAAAGGAAGCCCCGGCUAACUCCGUGCCAGCAGCGGCGGUAAUUC